This 253-nucleotide ribosomal RNA is filed under the name uncultured bacterium. RNAcentral's name for it is "partial 16S ribosomal RNA". It matches the Rfam family "Bacterial small subunit ribosomal RNA", at positions 524 to 776 of the family's 1533-position model. The record is from RNAcentral.
UACGUAGGGGGCAAGCGUUGUCCGGAUUUAUUGGGCGUAAAGAGCGUGUAGGCGGCCAUACAGGUCCGUUGUGAAAACUCGAGGCUCAACCUCGAGACGUCGAUGGAAACCGUAUGGCUAGAGUCCGGAAGAGGAGAGUGGAAUUCCUGGUGUAGCGGUGAAAUGCGCAGAUAUCGGGAAGAACACCCGUGGCGAAGGCGGCUCUCUGGGACGGUACUGACGCUGAGACGCGAAAGCGUGGGGAGCGAACAGG